GCUGGGGUAGCUUAGUUGGUUAGAGCAUGUGGCCCUUAACCACAAGAUAGGUCGAAGGUUCAAGCCUUUCUUUUAGCG
RNAcentral lists this transfer RNA (78 nucleotides) under Ipomoea nil (Japanese morning glory). It matches the Rfam family "tRNA". From Rfam's summary of the family: Transfer RNA (tRNA) molecules are approximately 80 nucleotides in length. Their secondary structure includes four short double-helical elements and three loops (D, anti-codon, and T loops). The record is from Rfam by way of RNAcentral. Lineage: Eukaryota; Viridiplantae; Streptophyta; Magnoliopsida; Solanales; Convolvulaceae.